Molecule: long non-coding RNA, 556 nt
Organism: Dalotia coriaria
Lineage: Eukaryota; Metazoa; Arthropoda; Insecta; Coleoptera; Staphylinidae
Exons: 5
Source: RefSeq, a predicted model, not a curated record
UCAGGUAUCGUUGGCUAUUGCAGUUUUGCAGUCGUCUAGGAUGCGCGCACAUCACUGCAUACCAAGGCCGCGUGCGCGCGCCCCUGACGCUAGCCACACGCGCUCAACUAGAGCGGCUUAAGCCUUCCUUUAGUCGAGUCGUGUUGUUUGUGGUUGCCGGUUAUCGCCACUCGUGUGUUACGCGCCGCCAUUAUAGUUCGGCAACUAUUCUAUACGUUUUCUCGUAAUAAACGGAUAUUGUGCUGUGCUACUGAAGAAUUUCGCUAGAAGUAUUCUCAAAACCUUAGCUGGCAGCUAUGAGUUCGACUUCAUAAUCGACGUGCCAGAUGAUUGAACGCAUUUUCUCAUUGCCAGUACAUGUAUUUGAUGUGCGCAAUUUGAGCACUUCCUGUGCCCCAGUGACUAAUGCGCACAAAAACUCUUUCAGCAUUUGUUUUGCCUGGCAGUCCGAUAAGCUGUACACUGGGGCGGCAUAAGCAGCUGAACCACAAUACGUUUCCGAUAGUAAAGAAUUGCCGUGUUCAUCAAUACAAAACCGAGCAAAACCAAAAUCUGC